This 27-nucleotide non-coding RNA is filed under the name Homo sapiens (human). The record is from RNAcentral. Lineage: Eukaryota; Metazoa; Chordata; Mammalia; Primates; Hominidae.
GUGACCAUGAGGGCCAUGUUGCAGUUC